This 272-nucleotide unclassified non-coding RNA is filed under the name uncultured fungus. RNAcentral's name for it is "partial contains 5.8S ribosomal RNA, internal transcribed spacer 2, and large subunit ribosomal RNA". The stretch from base 1 to 52 matches the Rfam family "5.8S ribosomal RNA", at positions 103 to 154 of the family's 154-position model. Lineage: Eukaryota; Fungi. The record is from RNAcentral.
AACGCACAUUGCGCCCGCCAGUAUUCUGGCGGGCAUGCCUGUUCGAGCGUCAUUUCGACCCUCAAGCCCUGCGGCUUGGUGUUGGCCCCCUACGGCGUUCGCCGUAGGCCCCGAAAUACAGUGGCGGACCCGACGGGACCCCGAGCGCAGUAGCAUCUGUUCUCGCUUAGGGCGUCGCGGCGGGCACCAGCCGUAAAACCCAUAGGCGCCUCCGGGCCCUAUAACCCACCAAGGUUGACCUCGGAUCAGGUAGGAAUACCCGCUGAACUUAA